AGCAGUCGCCGCGGUAAUACGGAGGGUGCAAGCGUUAAUCGGAAUUACUGGGCGUAAAGCGCACGCAGGCGGUCUGUCAAGUCAGAUGUGAAAUCCCCGGGCUUAACCUGGGAACUGCAUUUGAAACUGGCAGGCUAGAGUCUUGUAGAGGGGGGUAGAAUUCCAGGUGUAGCGGUGAAAUGCGUAGAGAUCUGGAGGAAUACCGGUGGCGAAGGCGGCCCCCUGGACAAAGACUGACGCUCAGGUGCGAAAGCGUGGGGAGCAAACAGGAUUAGAUACCCCAGUAGUCCCUGUCUCUUAUAA
RNAcentral lists this ribosomal RNA (303 nucleotides) under uncultured bacterium. RNAcentral's name for it is "partial 16S ribosomal RNA". It matches the Rfam family "Bacterial small subunit ribosomal RNA", at positions 507 to 809 of the family's 1533-position model. The record is from RNAcentral.